Molecule: unclassified non-coding RNA, 597 nt
Filed under: Bombus terrestris (buff-tailed bumblebee)
Lineage: Eukaryota; Metazoa; Arthropoda; Insecta; Hymenoptera; Apidae
Description: misc RNA ENSBTSG00005024786.1
Source: RNAcentral
UACAUUUAUGCUACUUGGCAAAUAAAAUAGGGGGCCUUCCUUUUUCCCUUUUGGAAGUGCAAAGGUCAUGAUAAUCGAAUUCAUUGAUGAUGGCUGUAAAGUGGAUGGUCUGUAGGAUCGGCUGCAUUCUUUUCCUUCUGCUGAUUUUAAAGAAACGCGAAUCUAAAGAAAAACAUUUCAUUUAAAAAUUUAUUUGGCAAAAGUAUAAAAAGAUAAUAUAUUCCAGAAAUUAUAAUAUCAUGAUUACUCCGUCAGCGGUGUUUCUAGCUUCUGCAAUUUUGUCUUUGAGAUUCUGUAAUUUUGUAGUUAACGUAUCGUUCCAUUUAUCAAAUUCAUUUUUCCUUUUUACAGCGGCAUUUGAUAAACUUAUUAAUUUUGCAUCUACUUUUUUCAUGUUACUCAGUGCUUCUGUCACUGAAAUUUUUCGCUGGCUAAACUGAUUUCGGAAUCGCCUUCUCUUUUUAAAUCGUACAAUUUUGGUUUUAAUAUAUUAACAAUCCCUUCUUUGUAAUCUCCAAUAAGUUUCUGCGAGGUUUUAAUACUUUCUAACACCUUGUCGUUGUCGUUUAAUAUAAUUUCAACAUUUUCACGCACUAA